GGGUUGUGAGGUUAAGCGACUAAGCGUACACGGUGGAUGCCCUGGCAGUCAGAGGCGAUGAAGGACGUGCUAAUCUGCGAUAAGCGUCGGUAAGGUGAUAUGAACCGUUAUAACCGGCGAUUUCCGAAUGGGGAAACCCAGUGUGAUUCGUCACACUAUCAUUAACUGAAUCCAUAGGUUAAUGAGGCGAACCGGGGGAACUGAAACAUCUAAGUACCCCGAGGAAAAGAAAUCAACCGAGAUUCCCCCAGUAGCGGCGAGCGAACGGGGAGCAGCCCAGAGCCUGAAUCAGUGUGUGUGUUAGUGGAAGCGUCUGGAAAGGCGCGCGAUACAGGGUGACAGCCCCGUACACAAAAAUGCACAUACUGUGAGCUCGAUGAGUAGGGCGGGACACGUGGUAUCCUGUCUGAAUAUGGGGGGACCAUCCUCCAAGGCUAAAUACUCCUGACUGACCGAUAGUGAACCAGUACCGUGAGGGAAAGGCGAAAAGAACCCCGGCGAGGGGAGUGAAAAAGAACCUGAAACCGUGUACGUACAAGCAGUGGGAGCACGCUUAGGCGUGUGACUGCGUACCUUUUGUAUAAUGGGUCAGCGACUUAUAUUCUGUAGCAAGGUUAACCGAAUAGGGGAGCCGAAGGGAAACCGAGUCUUAACUGGGCGUUAAGUUGCAGGGUAUAGACCCGAAACCCGGUGAUCUAGCCAUGGGCAGGUUGAAGGUUGGGUAACACUAACUGGAGGACCGAACCGACUAAUGUUGAAAAAUUAGCGGAUGACUUGUGGCUGGGGGUGAAAGGCCAAUCAAACCGGGAGAUAGCUGGUUCUCCCCGAAAGCUAUUUAGGUAGCGCCUCGUGAAUUCAUCUCCGGGGGUAGAGCACUGUUUCGGCAAGGGGGUCAUCCCGACUUACCAACCCGAUGCAAACUGCGAAUACCGGAGAAUGUUAUCACGGGAGACACACGGCGGGUGCUAACGUCCGUCGUGAAGAGGGAAACAACCCAGACCGCCAGCUAAGGUCCCAAAGUCAUGGUUAAGUGGGAAACGAUGUGGGAAGGCCCAGACAGCCAGGAUGUUGGCUUAGAAGCAGCCAUCAUUUAAAGAAAGCGUAAUAGCUCACUGGUCGAGUCGGCCUGCGCGGAAGAUGUAACGGGGCUAAACCAUGCACCGAAGCUGCGGCAGCGACGCUUAUGUGUUGUUGGGUAGGGGAGCGUUCUGUAAGCCUGUGAAGGUGUGCUGUGAGGUAUGCUGGAGGUAUCAGAAGUGCGAAUGCUGACAUAAGUAACGAUAAAGCGGGUGAAAAGCCCGCUCGCCGGAAGACCAAGGGUUCCUGUCCAACGUUAAUCGGGGCAGGGUGAGUCGACCCCUAAGGCGAGGCCGAAAGGCGUAGUCGAUGGGAAACAGGUUAAUAUUCCUGUACUUGGUGUUACUGCGAAGGGGGGACGGAGAAGGCUAUGUUGGCCGGGCGACGGUUGUCCCGGUUUAAGCGUGUAGGCUGGUUUUCCAGGCAAAUCCGGAAAACUAAGGCUGAGGCGUGAUGACGAGGCACUACGGUGCUGAAGCAACAAAUGCCCUGCUUCCAGGAAAAGCCUCUAAGCAUCAGGUAACAUCAAAUCGUACCCCAAACCGACACAGGUGGUCAGGUAGAGAAUACCAAGGCGCUUGAGAGAACUCGGGUGAAGGAACUAGGCAAAAUGGUGCCGUAACUUCGGGAGAAGGCACGCUGAUAUGUAGGUGAAGUCCCUCGCGGAUGGAGCUGAAAUCAGUCGAAGAUACCAGCUGGCUGCAACUGUUUAUUAAAAACACAGCACUGUGCAAACACGAAAGUGGACGUAUACGGUGUGACGCCUGCCCGGUGCCGGAAGGUUAAUUGAUGGGGUCAGCGCAAGCGAAGCUCUUGAUCGAAGCCCCGGUAAACGGCGGCCGUAACUAUAACGGUCCUAAGGUAGCGAAAUUCCUUGUCGGGUAAGUUCCGACCUGCACGAAUGGCGUAAUGAUGGCCAGGCUGUCUCCACCCGAGACUCAGUGAAAUUGAACUCGCUGUGAAGAUGCAGUGUACCCGCGGCAAGACGGAAAGACCCCGUGAACCUUUACUAUAGCUUGACACUGAACAUUGAGCCUUGAUGUGUAGGAUAGGUGGGAGGCUUUGAAGUGUGGACGCCAGUCUGCAUGGAGCCGACCUUGAAAUACCACCCUUUAAUGUUUGAUGUUCUAACGUUGACCCGUAAUCCGGGUUGCGGACAGUGUCUGGUGGGUAGUUUGACUGGGGCGGUCUCCUCCUAAAGAGUAACGGAGGAGCACGAAGGUUGGCUAAUCCUGGUCGGACAUCAGGAGGUUAGUGCAAUGGCAUAAGCCAGCUUGACUGCGAGCGUGACGGCGCGAGCAGGUGCGAAAGCAGGUCAUAGUGAUCCGGUGGUUCUGAAUGGAAGGGCCAUCGCUCAACGGAUAAAAGGUACUCCGGGGAUAACAGGCUGAUACCGCCCAAGAGUUCAUAUCGACGGCGGUGUUUGGCACCUCGAUGUCGGCUCAUCACAUCCUGGGGCUGAAGUAGGUCCCAAGGGUAUGGCUGUUCGCCAUUUAAAGUGGUACGCGAGCUGGGUUUAGAACGUCGUGAGACAGUUCGGUCCCUAUCUGCCGUGGGCGCUGGAGAACUGAGGGGGGCUGCUCCUAGUACGAGAGGACCGGAGUGGACGCAUCACUGGUGUUCGGGUUGUCAUGCCAAUGGCACUGCCCGGUAGCUAAAUGCGGAAGAGAUAAGUGCUGAAAGCAUCUAAGCACGAAACUUGCCCCGAGAUGAGUUCUCCCUGACUCCUUGAGAGUCCUGAAGGAACGUUGAAGACGACGACGUUGAUAGGCCGGGUGUGUAAGCGCAGCGAUGCGUUGAGCUAACCGGUACUAAUG
Molecule: ribosomal RNA, 2894 nt
Filed under: Escherichia coli
Lineage: Bacteria; Pseudomonadati; Pseudomonadota; Gammaproteobacteria; Enterobacterales; Enterobacteriaceae
Description: bacterial LSU rRNA
Rfam family: Bacterial large subunit ribosomal RNA
Source: RNAcentral